RNAcentral lists this ribosomal RNA (409 nucleotides) under uncultured microorganism. RNAcentral's name for it is "bacterial SSU rRNA". It matches the Rfam family "Bacterial small subunit ribosomal RNA", at positions 10 to 420 of the family's 1533-position model. The record is from RNAcentral.
GAUUUGAUCAUGACUCAGAUUGAACGCUAGCGGGAUGCCUUACACAUGCAAGUCGAACGGCAGCACGGACUUCGGUCUGGUGGCGAGUGGCGAACGGGUGAGUAAUGUAUCGGAACGUGCCUAGUAGCGGGGGGAUAACUACGCGAAAGCGUAGCUAAUACCGCAUACGCCCUACGGGGGAAAGCAGGGGAUCGCAAGACCUUGCACUAUUAGAGCGGCCGAUAUCGGAUUAGCUAGUUGGUGGGGUAACGGCUCACCAAGGCGACGAUCCGUAGCUGGUUUGAGAGGACGACCAGCCACACUGGGACUGAGACACGGCCCAGACUCCUACGGGAGGCAGCAGUGGGGAAUUUUGGACAAUGGGGGAAACCCUGAUCCAGCCAUCCCGCGUGUGCGAUGAAGGCCUCGG